Molecule: transfer RNA, 69 nt
Filed under: Aspidodiadema arcitum
Lineage: Eukaryota; Metazoa; Echinodermata; Echinoidea; Aspidodiadematoida; Aspidodiadematidae
Description: tRNA-Pro
Rfam family: tRNA
About the family: Transfer RNA (tRNA) molecules are approximately 80 nucleotides in length. Their secondary structure includes four short double-helical elements and three loops (D, anti-codon, and T loops). Further hydrogen bonds mediate the characteristic L-shaped molecular structure. tRNAs have two regions of fundamental functional importance: the anti-codon, which is responsible for specific mRNA codon recognition, and the 3' end, to which the tRNAs corresponding amino acid is attached (by aminoacyl-tRNA synthetases). tRNAs cope with the degeneracy of the genetic code in two manners: having more than one tRNA (with a specific anti-codon) for a particular amino acid; and 'wobble' base-pairing, i.e. permitting non-standard base-pairing at the 3rd anti-codon position.
Source: RNAcentral
CAGAAGAUAGUUUAAUUAGAACCGCAGCUUUGGGAGUUGCAAGUAUAGGUGAAACUCCUAUUCUUCUGA